Arvicanthis niloticus (Nile rat) is the source of this 945-nucleotide non-coding RNA. Lineage: Eukaryota; Metazoa; Chordata; Mammalia; Rodentia; Muridae. The record is from RefSeq and is a predicted model, not a curated record.
AUGCGGUUAGUCUACAUAGGAUGCCUGAGCUACAACUUCAGCUAGAAAAACAUUCAGCUCUUUUUCAGUGGCUACGGCUGUCUCUUCGACACAGCCGUUUAGGAGCUGAACAGUAAGAGAGUGGCAUGAUCAUAGAGCAUGCUUAUGACCUGCGCCAAGAUUGAGAUGACAACCACUACAGAAGCUGCAGUGGUGGAGGUGGAUACAGUAGUCGGAGAACUUCUGGCAAAGACAAAUAUGGACCAACUGUUUGUACAGAAUACAGGCUUAUUGUAGAAAAUCUGUCUAGUCUUUGCAGUUGGCAAGACUUAAAGAAUUUCAUGCGGCAAGCAGAAGUGACUUAUGCAGAUGCUCACACAGAACAAACAACUGAGGUUGUAAUUGAAGUUAGAUCCUUCUCUGACAUGAAGCGUGCUUUGGAUAAACUGGAUGGCACAGAAAUAAGUGGCAGAAAUACUAGGCUUAUUGAAGAUAAGCCAGGGACAAGCCAUAGGCACUCAUACUCUGGAAGUAGACUCAGAUCACGGUGUAGAAGAUCUCAGAGUAGGAGUCGCAGAAGCAGCUGCAGUAGAUCUCGAAAUAUCUCAAAAAGUCCCUCCCGACCUAGGUCUUGGAGCAAAGGUCAAUCCCAAACUUGCUCAAAAGGCAGGAAAUCCAGAUCAAAGAGCAAAUCUAAGCCCAAGUCUGAUCGGGGUUCCCAUUCACACUCAAGAAGCAGAUCUAAGGAUAAGUAUGAGAAGUCACUAGGUAGGUCACCUUCUCUGUUCCCCAAAGAAAAUGGAAAGGGAUCCAUAAAUUCAAAGUCCGGAUCCCGGAGACUGUCUUGAUCCCGUUUGCCUCUGCCUGCUCCACCCUCAAAGAUUUGUUCUGUAUCCCCUCUACCAAAGAACGUCAAGGUCCACUUCUAGAACUCACUCAAGGUCCAGAUCAAGUUCCAGAGAUUAA